AAAUAGGAUUGUCCCUUUAUUAAAAGUAAUAAAUGCUAAAGUAGUAAUAGUUAUGUUCUUGAACUUAAAAAUUUGGCGGUAUUUUAGUCUAUCUAGAGGAACCUGUUUUUUAAUCGAUAAUCCACGAUGGACCUUACUUAAAUUUGUAAUCAGUUUAUAUACCGUCGUUAUCAGAAUAUUUUAUAAGAAUAAUAAUAUUCAAUAAUUUUAAUAAAAAUUUAUAUCAGAUCAAGGUGUAGCUUAUAUUUAAGUAAUAAUGGGUUACAAUAAAUUUAUUUAUAUGAAUAAAUUAUGAAAAAAUUUUUGAAAGUGGAUUUAGUAGUAAAAUUAUAAAGAUUAAUAAUUUGAUUUAGCUCUAAAAAUAUGUACACUCGCCGUCGCUCUUAUAUAGGAAGAAAUCGUACUAUA
This 408-nucleotide ribosomal RNA is filed under the name Drosophila melanogaster (fruit fly). RNAcentral's name for it is "partial 12S ribosomal RNA". The record is from RNAcentral. Lineage: Eukaryota; Metazoa; Arthropoda; Insecta; Diptera; Drosophilidae.